AAUCGUUCCGAGGGGGGCCCCGUAUGGGGCUGAGAGUGGGCAUGCGCCCUGACCCUUGAACCUGAUCCGGCUCGUACCGGCGGAGGGACGGGAACCAGUGGCCGC
Molecule: regulatory RNA element, 105 nt
Rfam family: TPP riboswitch aptamer (THI element)
About the family: Vitamin B(1) in its active form thiamin pyrophosphate (TPP) is an essential coenzyme that is synthesised by coupling of pyrimidine and thiazole moieties in bacteria.
Source: Rfam